This 434-nucleotide long non-coding RNA is filed under the name Equus caballus (horse). RNAcentral's name for it is "lncRNA (ENSECAG00000039939.3)". Lineage: Eukaryota; Metazoa; Chordata; Mammalia; Perissodactyla; Equidae. The record is from RNAcentral.
AAACAAUACAACAUACAGUAAUAAUCCGAAAUAAAUAUGUAAAGGCAAUUUAGGUUAGAAAAUUCCAAUUUUCUUCUAUGAAUGAGUAAGGAAGAAAGUGCUAGCGAAGGCCUAUAAAAGCUUUGAUACUAUUUGUGAACUAUGCCAUACAAGACAUUAUCCUGACAGCUGUGAAUCUUUUCUGGAUAAAGGUCAAGGACAUCCUUACCACUGAAAGUUUUCCCACCAGGAUGAACUGAGCAAGAGACAGCUGCUGGGCUACCAGCAGAAACAGCUGGUUGUAUUAUUACUACAGUUACUGCAUAUACCUGUGCCCGCUCAGCUACAACCCAACAAGUCUGAUCCUGAGAUACAAAUGCUACAUCAGAAACGGAGUCACUGGAAAAGCAAAAGAAGUGAAAGAAAAGAUGAAGCCUCUCAGCUUGGAAAUGCAU